This 378-nucleotide ribosomal RNA is filed under the name uncultured archaeon. RNAcentral's name for it is "bacterial SSU rRNA". It matches the Rfam family "Archaeal small subunit ribosomal RNA", at positions 691 to 1068 of the family's 1478-position model. The record is from RNAcentral.
CCGACGGUGAGGGGUGAAAGCUGGGGGAGCAAACCGGAUUAGAUACCCGGGUAGUCCCAGCCGUAAACGAUGUGCGUUAGGUGUAUCGGUGACCACGAGUCACCGAGGUGCCGAAGAGAAAUCGUGAAACGUACCGCCUGGGAAGUACGGUCGCAAGGCUGAAACUUAAAGGAAUUGGCGGGGGAGCACCACAACAGGCGGAGCCUGCGGUUUAAUCGGACUCAACGCCGGGAAACUCACCAGAUAAGACAGCUGAAUGAUAGUCGGGCUGAAGACUCUACUUGACUAGCUGAGAGGAGGUGCAUGGCCGUCGUCAGUUCGUACUGUGAAGCAUCCUGUUAAGUUAGGCAACGAGCGAGACCCACGCCAACAGUUGCU